UAAUAUGGUUUCCAACAGCCUUAGCCAAUUAAAACCAUCACAAUAUCUAUCAAAAAUACACUUUUCCAGUGAUAUCAGUAAAGAACAAUACCCCGGUGAACACCACACACCAAUGCACUGAAAUAGUAACAACUUACGUGAAGACUUGAAUGGCCGACACUCAACAUAAACUAAAUUUAAAAAAAAAAAAAACGUGUGUGAUGGCGGGGACAUGGACAUGGCUGAGUGCCACCUGCGGACAGACAGGAAGCAGGUUGAACCGGCAGGCAGAAUGCCAAGAAUCUGAGAGAGAGUGAAAGAGCUGACGGAGCUUACGCAUCACACACACACACUCUCACACACACAAACGUCUGUAUCAUGAUCUCAAAAGUGUUUGUGGGGGAAGCCCGGAAAUAUUGGGACUGUGUUUUAUUUUGGUUUUAUCCAGUUGAGUUGUUGAGAGAUUGCUGUUGGAACA
This is a long non-coding RNA of Pangasianodon hypophthalmus (striped catfish), 457 nucleotides long. RefSeq lists it as uncharacterized. The record is from RefSeq and is a predicted model, not a curated record. Lineage: Eukaryota; Metazoa; Chordata; Actinopteri; Siluriformes; Pangasiidae. The transcript has 3 exons.